Molecule: ribosomal RNA, 465 nt
Filed under: uncultured bacterium
Lineage: Bacteria
Description: partial 16S ribosomal RNA
Rfam family: Bacterial small subunit ribosomal RNA
Source: RNAcentral
GACGAACGCUGGCGGCGUGCUUAACACAUGCAAGUCGAACGGAAAGGCCCCUUUGGGGGUACUCGAGUGGCGAACGGGUGAGUAACACGUGAGUAACCUGCCCUUGACUUCGGGAUAACUUCAGGAAACUGGGGCUAAUACCGGAUAGGAAUCCUUGCUGCAUGGUGGGGGUUGGAAAGCUUCGGCGGUUUUGGAUGGACUCGCGGCUUAUCAGCUUGUUGGUGGGGUAGUGGCUUACCAAGGCUUUGACGGGUAGCCGGCCUGAGAGGGCGACCGGCCACAUUGGGACUGAGGUACGGCCCAGACUCCGACGGGAGGCAGCAGUGGGGAAUAUUGCACAAGGGGCGGAAGCCUGAUGCAGCAACGCCGCGGGCGGGAUGACGGCCUUCGGGUUGUAAACCGCUUUCAGCAGGGGCGAAGCUUGUGGUGACGGUACCUGCAGAAGAAGCACCGGCUAACUACGUG